AUGGGGACCCGACAUAUACCGCUGCCUUGCCUGUACGAGCUCCUCCUCGGCAACGAGCGUGACCGUUGGUCGCCGGAGGCCAGGUUCAUCGAAGCCGCCCACAACGGCGACGUCGGCAAGAUCAAGAAGAUUGCAAAGGAGCUGGACGUCCGCGGGCACGGGAUCCCGGUGACGGUGGCCAACACCACCUACAUGGGCAUGAACGCCCUCCAUGCCGCCGCCGGCUGCGGCAGCUUCUCGGUCUUCCAGUAUCUCGUGGAGGAGGUCAAGAUGGAUGCGGACUUGCCUGACACCGCUCAGCAGUUUACACCCGUGGCGCAUGCCGUCACCAAUGGCAACCUUCCCGCCGUCAAGUACCUCAUUGAUCAUGGCGCUGAUGUGCAUCAGCAACGUGCAAAGGGAAACAUCACUCUUCUUCAUGCAGCUGCAGUUCAUGGGUACUCUGAAAUAGUAAAGUUUCUUCUUGUGAGGGGAGCUGAUGUGCAUGCAAUAUCAGAUCUUGGAACAGCACUCGCGGAUGCUGCCAUUAGAGGAUUUCCUAGUAUUGUCAAGAUCCUUUUGGAGCACAAUGCAGAUCCCAACAAGGCUAGUUGUCAGUUUGGACUUUUAAGCAUGGCAUUACAAAAAUCUUCUAUAUCCUGGGUGAAGUUAUUGAUUCAGGGUGGAGCUAAUGUCAGUGGUGAUAGUCCUCAGGAUAAUCUUUUGGUAAAGGCUGCAGAGAAGGGCUUAACUGAAGCUAUCAAGUGCUUGUUGGAAGCUGGUGCAAACCCAAAUGUUCCUAGCACAUUUGGUAGACUGCCAAUUGAGUUGGCUGUUGAGUAUGGUACACGGGAAGAUGUUGAGAUUCUCUUUCCGUUCACCUCGCCCAUUUCAACUGUGGCAAAUUGGAGCGUUGAUGGAAUCAUUAGUCAUGUGAAGAUGGAAAUCAAGCAACUAGAGGAUGAAAAAUUUGUGAAAGAGAGGGUGUCUGACCUGAAACGACAAGCAGAUGAAGCAUUCAAAAACCAGGAUUAUCUAAAUGCAUCAGUGCUCUACACACAGGCACUGAAGAUGGAUAACUUCGACGCCAAGUUGUUGUCAAACAGGAGUCUUUGCUGGCUUCGCAUGGGUGAUGGACAAAGGGCUUUUGAUGAUGCAACUAAAUGCAAAAGGCUGCGUCCAAAGUGGGCAAAGGCGCACUAUCGAGAAGGAGCAGCUCUAAUGUUCAUGAAGAAGUAUGCUGCUGCGUAUUCCGCACUCUCACACGCUUUAGAGUUGGACCCGGAAAGCAAAGAGACCGAGAAAUUAUUCUGGGAGGCGAUGGAACUUAAGUGA
RNAcentral lists this ribosomal RNA (1314 nucleotides) under Triticum aestivum (bread wheat). Its description in RNAcentral is "partial small subunit ribosomal RNA". Lineage: Eukaryota; Viridiplantae; Streptophyta; Magnoliopsida; Poales; Poaceae. The record is from RNAcentral.